GGUUAAGUCCCGUAACGAGCGCAACCCUUGUCCUUAGUUACCAUCAUUAAGUUGGGGACUCUAAGGAGACUGCCGGUGACAAACCGGAGGAAGGCGGGGACGACGUCAAGUCAUCAUGGCCCUUACGAGUAGGGCUACACACGUGCUACAAUGGCAAGUACAGAGGGUUGCGAAGCAGUGAUGUGGAGCUAAUCUCUUAAAGCUUGUCGUAGUCCGGAUCGGAGUCUGCAACUCGACUCCGUGAAGUCGGAAUCGCUAGUAAUCGCAAAUCAGAAUGUUGCGGUGAAUACGUUCCCGGGCCUUGUACACACCGCCCGUCACACCAUGGGAGUGGGUUGCUCCAGAAGUAGAUAGCCUAACCUCGGA
RNAcentral lists this ribosomal RNA (366 nucleotides) under uncultured Gammaproteobacteria bacterium. RNAcentral describes it as "bacterial SSU rRNA". It matches the Rfam family "Bacterial small subunit ribosomal RNA", at positions 1078 to 1447 of the family's 1533-position model. Lineage: Bacteria; Pseudomonadati; Pseudomonadota; Gammaproteobacteria. The record is from RNAcentral.